This 468-nucleotide ribosomal RNA is filed under the name uncultured bacterium. RNAcentral's name for it is "partial 16S ribosomal RNA". It matches the Rfam family "Bacterial small subunit ribosomal RNA", at positions 28 to 507 of the family's 1533-position model. The record is from RNAcentral.
GACGAACGCUGGCGGCGUGCUUAACACAUGCAAGUCGAACGGAAAGGCCCUGCUUUUGUGGGGUGCUCGAGUGGCGAACGGGUGAGUAACACGUGAGUAACCUGCCCUGGACUUUGGGAUAACUUCAGGAAACUGGGGCUAAUACCGGAUAGGAGCUCCUGCUGCAUGGUGGGGGUUGGAAAGUUUCGGCGGUUGGGGCUGGACUCGCGGCUUAUCAGCUUGUUGGUGGGGUAGUGGCUUACCAAGGCUUUGACGGGUAGCCGGCCUGAGAGGGUGACCGGCCACAUUGGGCCUGAGAUACGGCCCAGACUCCUACGGGAGGCAGCAGUGGGGAGUAUUGCACAAUGGGCGGAAGCCUGAUGCAGCAACGCCGCGUGCGGGAUGACGGCCUUCGGGUUGUAAACCGCUUUCGCCUGUGACGAAGCGUGAGUGACGGUAAUGGGUAAAGAAGCACCGGCUAACUACGUG